CACGGGGGGAGCAAGCGUUGUUCGGAUUCAUUGGGCGUAAAGAGCUCGUAGGCGGCUCCGUAAGUCGAGGGUGAAAUACAACGGCUCAACCGUUGGAACGCCUUCGAAACUACAGAGCUUGAGGUCGGGAGAGGAAAGCGGAAUUCCUGGAGUAGCGGUGAAAUGCGUAGAUAUCAGGAGGAACACCAGUGGCGAAGGCGGCUUUCUGGACCGAUUCUGACGCUGAGGAGCGAAAGCCAGGGGAGCAAACAGGAUUAGAUACCCGAGUA
This 269-nucleotide ribosomal RNA is filed under the name uncultured prokaryote. RNAcentral describes it as "partial 16S ribosomal RNA". It matches the Rfam family "Bacterial small subunit ribosomal RNA", at positions 524 to 792 of the family's 1533-position model. The record is from RNAcentral.